Molecule: ribosomal RNA, 254 nt
Filed under: uncultured bacterium
Lineage: Bacteria
Description: partial 16S ribosomal RNA
Rfam family: Bacterial small subunit ribosomal RNA
Source: RNAcentral
UACGUAGGGUGCGAGCGUUGUCCGGAUUUAUUGGGCGUAAAGAGCUCGUAGGCGGUUUGGUAAGUCGGAUGUGAAAUCUCCAGGCUCAACCUGGAGGGGUCAUUCGAUACUGCCAUGACUAGAGUUCGGUAGGGGAGUGUGGAAUUCCUGGUGGAGCGGUGAAAUGCGCAGAGAUCAGGAGGAACACCCGUAGCGAAGGCGGCACUCUGGGCCGAUACUGACGCUGAGGAGCGAAAGCGUGGGGAGCGAACAGG